CUAAUAUCUCACUGUGCCCCGCUGUGAGAAACCGAGAGUGGGAUUUCCUUAAAGGUUUUGUCACGCAUAAUGACAUGCCGACACCCCCCACACAGUCUCUACAUUUGACAUAAACAGAUAUCUGAGUGGUAUACUGAUGUUACAGAGUGUCUCAAUUAUCAAGGGAUGUUAGACCUCUCAACUUCCUUUUAAUGUUCAUUUAUUAUUUAUGGCUUGUUUCUUAAUGUUAGCUAUACACAAACUACUUCUUCCAGCCAUUGUUGGUGCUUUCACUUUCUCUACAGUGUGAGUUGGUGGGUUACAGUGGAGAAUUCUAGGGGGAAAUUCGGCUGUUGGCUGGGGGAGUUUCCAUUGCAGCAGAGGCGGAGUAACACUGACAUGUUUAAUUUGCCAGUGAGGGCUUGUAGUCCUGAGCAGUAGUGUGGUACAAGUAGUGUGUUCUGUUAGCACAGUAGUGUUUGUACAGCUGUUACCAUACUCUUAAGUAGUUCCUGUAGUGUAAAUGUUGUUCUACCUGAACACAGAACUAACUUUAUAGUUUUGUUCCUGAAACAUUUCUGUUCUCUACAACAACACAGUGGUGUAGAAAUAUGAAGUUGCUGGAGCUGGGGGACUCAAUCAGUCGCUUCAGGUUCGCUCAGUCCUGUGUGGGGCUGGCAGGUUGCCUGUGUGUGUGCUACGCAGUCUGCACACCAUUCUGGAUGAAGGAUAGGGGACUCUGGACUCAGUGUAAUAACACUAAAAGUGACCAGACAAAUCGUAAAGGUGGCAAUGACUUCAACGCCCUGGAAGCAGAGAGAGUAUUUGGAGUUGUUUCCUUCCUCAUGGCUGUGAGCACUGGUGGUCUGUGUGUGGUGUUUGCCCUCUGCUGGACAUCUGAGACAGUGCGCUCCUACUCCAACACUCGCUCUCUCCUCAUGGCAGGACAGGCCCUCUACCCCAGCACUCUGCUGCUGUUCACCAUGGCCUCUACAGGUUUCUUCUUCCUCCUCAGCUGGUCUUUUUUCACCUAUCAGCACAGGGAAGAAAUCCGUCAAGACUUUUCCACCCUCGGCUCCUCCUAUUGGCUAGGGGCUUUAGGUUGGGUCCUGCUGUUGGUCGUGGAGAUGAUAGUCUUUAUAGCUGAGCAAGCUGUUGUGCCCGACAUCCUACCAGACUUAGAGAAGGCUGUGGAGUCGUGGCGGAUUUCCUCUCAACUUAAGCACACUAAAUGCUCGUUCAGCGAUGGUUUUUACCCUGGUGCCUAAUGGCCUUGUGUGGAGUCCAGAAAUGAGGACAUGACAGAGCAAAUGAAUGUUAAUGUGUAAGUUGCACAUUAACCCACUCAGACUGAACGAGAAACCAGCAAUUCCUCGCUGCUUUGUAGAUCUAUACAACCAGACUGGAUAUUGAUUAACUGUGUUGGGAGUUAAAUGUUUGCCAGAGGAAUUAAGACUGAAUCCUGAAAGUCAGUGGGACUGAAGGCUUCAGCUUCCUGAAGAGCUGAUCGUGGUGGUUAUUCUCCACUUUGUUUUCAGUAUUGACUGAAAGGAAAUAAAAACAAUCAACAAUACUGAAAGUAGGCACCAAAUGUAAGAUGACAACUGUUCUCUGACAAAGUAUGCAUGUGUACACUGGUGUUUGCGAAGUUUUACAUUUCAUAAAGCGUUGUCCAGGUUUGACGAGGAACAGAUCCAGCUGUGGGGGUUUCAGUUGGCUUUAUGUCAACAAAACACUCCCUAAACAUCCAACUAGUACCGGUAACUGAAUAUUUCAGCGGGAGCUGCUAUGUAGUUGAUGAAUGUUAAAAACAGAGCCACCUUGUGGUUCCCAUGUGACACUUUUGACAGUCCUCAGCAAAAGAAAAAUAGAUUAUUUGUGUACAGGGACAUCAUAACAUUAUAUAUAUAUAUAUAUAUAUAUGGCAAAUACUCACAGCAAAUACACAUUGUGUUCCUGUGGUGCUUUCCUAUAAAAGGUAUCAAAGGUGUUUGCUGAUGAUUAGUAAUAAUUAGCACACAUAUCUGUAGUCAUACCCCCUUUCAAUGAUCCCUUAUCUUAUUACCAAUUAAUUGUCGUACGGUAUAUGGUAUGUGCAACAAAGCGUACUUUGACAAUGCUGAUCAUGUGCUGUCCCCACCCUUUCACAGUUCAAUAAAAAGUUUCACAAGUUUACAACCAUAACGUGUGUUUGUAUCAAAGGUGAGGGUGGGAGGGACGAGAGCUCAUAUGUCUGAG
Molecule: long non-coding RNA, 2217 nt
Filed under: Cottoperca gobio
Lineage: Eukaryota; Metazoa; Chordata; Actinopteri; Perciformes; Bovichtidae
Description: lncRNA (ENSCGOG00000019163.1)
Source: RNAcentral